This is a long non-coding RNA of Calidris pugnax (ruff), 2267 nucleotides long. RefSeq lists it as uncharacterized. The transcript has 3 exons. The record is from RefSeq and is a predicted model, not a curated record. NCBI's taxonomy places the organism in Eukaryota, Metazoa, Chordata, Aves, Charadriiformes, Scolopacidae.
UUACAUUCCAAGACUGCCUGCUUUUGUUGGAUAGACUGUUCAGCCAGAUAAACAGCUAUGUAAAAGCCUGCAGUGGGACUUGCUGAUGGUCCAUCUGAGCUCCAGCUCUCUGUGGCCUUGCUGAAGAACACUUCUAUGACAGAUACCUACGCUGCAGCCGCUAAAAGGUCCAGUUCCUUUUUCAUCGAGCACCACACUAUUUUAUGGGGAAAGGGAUAGACAUCACAUAUAAUAAGAUUUUCAGUUUCAGAGAUUAGCAGCCAGGUCUGUGUCUGCCUCCACUGACCAUCUGUCAACCAGCGCUGCUCACCUGGUGCCCUGGGUGUUACCUGUGUGCCUGUAUCCAGGAGACUGACUGGAAAGACCACAGUAAGAUUAGAGGGAGGUGGCUGAAGCUGCUCCCUGCUUGUCUGCUAAAAGUCAACAGCUCUGCGUGUCGCUGCCUGAAUCACAUGCAAAACAGACUGUGGGCUGCUGCUGCUUGUGGUCCAGUGUAUUGAAGUAAACCAUUAUCAAUGGCAGGAUCGCAUACGCUUUCAAAAGCAAAAUAUUUAAAUACUAGCCGAAGUGUUAUCAGCAAUUGCAAAGAUGUUCAAAGGUGAAUUAAAGUUUAUAAAAAUGUUUUACUAAUGGUGAACUAUAGGCAAAAAAUGUAUACAGCAAGUUUUGCUAGCAUUCAGACUGUGAAAAGGAUUCAGUGUGAAAAUAAGUUCUGCUACAUUUUUGUAAACUCUUUCUUACGUCCAGAGAUAAAAACUUUCUUUCUACUUCAGAGUAUCCACCAGUAUCUCAGGCUACAUGAUUCUCUGGAAACUGCUACGAUGCCCAUGGAUUUUGAUGUUGCAUUCUGAGAGCUCAGAGGGAUUUAAUGGAUCUCCUCUGCUUUUCCAGUUUGUAGACGAAACCAAAAGUGACAAGAAUCUGGAGAUACGGAUUUCAGUGUUAUCAGUGUGAUGGCAUUACAUUAGUCUAGACCUCCUCUUUGUUCAACCCAUUAGGGACUGUCAGCUCUCAUCCAUCUGGCUGACAUUCUGUAGCAUUAGUGAUGGCUGGUUGAAGUAACUCAGACAAAACCAAGAAUUUGCUUGUGAGCAGGGUAGAACUUUUCAAAAAUUUAACAGUUUCUACAAAGCUGUAACUCAGGGGGUGAAUCCAUCAGUGAAGAGGCAGCUAUAAAAUACAGAGGUCAUCCUUUGCUGCACUUUCAGGAGAUUGAUGGAAUAGUUUUGUUGUUUCAGUUGAACUGAAACUGCUGAUUGGCAGUUUUAUCUGUUUUUUCUGACCAAGUAUUUGCUUGACAUCAAGCUGUAGACACAACUUUUUUUCCAGAAAAAAGCAGGUAGCAUCUUCCAGAUGGGUUACCAAGAAAAUGAGUAGUUUUUUACAUUUGGUUAUAUUUUGAUAAAUUUAUAACUGGACAUUUCUAUUCCUUUGUUUCCAUUUAUACUACUUCCUGGGGAGGUUGUUCUUUUUACCUAGAAGGCAAACACCCUCAGUGUGAUAUCAAAACUCACAGAUAGCAUUGUGCAGUCCACUCAGAUGAGACGCUGUUAUAGUAGCCUAACUGAAAAGACAGUAAUUAACCAAAUUAUUUUCUCAGUUGUGUACACUUAAAAAUAUGGUAACCCAUUUAUCUGUUUGUAUGAAAUAGAGCAAUUAAUAUGUAAGGAAAUUACACAGUGAGGAGAGACGGGACUAUUUAUCUAACCUGAAAAUGGUUGCAUGCCAAUAAGGUAUUAGAAACUUCACAUAUAUAAAAGUAAAGAUACUCUUCUGCAAUGAAAGCUGUGCCCACAGUCAGGGUUUCUACAUGAGGAUGGGAUUCUGGCCAAGAGGCUGUUUAAGUAACUUGUCAGUUUGUUUGAAGUAUGAUACAGAGAGAGAAGCUUCUCGGAUUAGAGUAUGAAAGAACAAAUGAGGUUUUAUGUUCUUUGGGUUCACAAGGCUUUAAACCAAGUAACUGUGUUAUCUAGGUUAAUAAAUUCUUUGAUUGAGGAAAUCCUUAGAACUGGAGGGCAUGACCAUUCUGUGUGGUGUGACAGCAUUCUAAUAUAGUUCCUUGAGGACAGCUAGAAAAUAGGAUCGUAAUUCACAUUAUUACACCAGCAUGGGGUGACACACGCUUUCAAAAUCUUGCUUACUAUAAUAUGAUUUUAUUGAGUAUCAAGUGAUGACCAGGUUCAUCAUCUCUAAUGUAAUCUUUUUAAUAAUUAAAUGUUUUCAAUGUGUUUAGUAAUUAACUGAAAUAAAAGAGAGGUAAAAAGGAA